Long non-coding RNA from Physeter macrocephalus (sperm whale), 237 nucleotides. RefSeq lists it as uncharacterized. Lineage: Eukaryota; Metazoa; Chordata; Mammalia; Artiodactyla; Physeteridae. The record is from RefSeq and is a predicted model, not a curated record. The transcript has 3 exons.
UGACUGCACACUUUGGAUCUUCCUUAUGGGAGCAGUGCAAAAUCAAGGAAGCAGGUGCUCAGCUGACAUCUGCUGAAGGAGCCAUCACACCAGUGCCCAAGAUCAGAACCUGCCUGCCCACAAAGGCUUGCUUUGUGACCCAAGAUGUGAUCAAUCCUGGAGAAUGUUCCAUGUGAACUUGAAAAGACUGUGUAUUCUGCUGCUUUGGGAUGGAAUGCUGUAUAAAUAUCAUUUAAG